Molecule: long non-coding RNA, 1588 nt
Organism: Mus musculus (house mouse)
Lineage: Eukaryota; Metazoa; Chordata; Mammalia; Rodentia; Muridae
Product: predicted gene, 36823
Exons: 4
Source: RefSeq, a predicted model, not a curated record
ACCCCAAGCCCAAUGUCAGGGAGUUUCACAGGAUUCAGAGGAAAGAAGAAAAUGUCACUGUCAUGCUUUGAAGUAUUUUCUGCAUCAAGUCUUACUGUGUAUGGGAAUUGUCUUUCCUCAAGUUCCCAGAUAGCUACUUCCUGGGAGAACAGAGGCCACAGUCUACCUUUGCAGAUCCCAGCCCUUCCCCCAGGCCAGUAAGGAUCUUACAAAAGCCUCUUGUGAACCGACAGGGACACCUCAGAGCCCUAAUGGGAGAAGAAGGGCAAGUGUGGGCAAGGCCCCUGGCUCUCCUGCCUGCAGCCAUUUCUCAAGCAACCUGGUUCUCAGGGAGACUUCAAGAACCAGUUUCUGGUCUUUGCUUGAAAAGGAAACCAGUCAUUCAAGGGUAAAUCAUAAGUACUAAAUGAAAAGCUCUGUGACUGUACACUAAAGACUUCAUCACAAGAGGAGAAAUCUCUUGUCUACACACUUGUGUCAGCCUAGGAGUCCGGGACAGAAGGCAUGUAGGACUGGCCAGACUUGAAAGUGACAUGCUGAAUGCAAGGCAAGGACAGAAGGAGCUGAUUCCUUCACAGUCCCCCGGAACCACGUGGUGGCCAGGUUGACAGUACCAGAGAAGAGCACCUUCCCACUUGGGUGACUUGUCAGACCUGAAGAGCAACUGAAAGUCACAGUGGAAUUCAGACUCAUCACUGAUGACCAGGACAAGAAACCAAGAUCAAGGUGCAGCUGAGUAUAGGAGAAUCAUCAGGGACCAAACACCAGCAUGAGAACUCAUUCGAGUUUUGAAACAGAUUCUCACUGCUCUGGCCCUGAAUGCCUGGCUGCAGAGGUCUUCCUGCUUUGCCCUUUCAAGUAGCUAGGGUUAUACAUAUAAGCUUGAAGCAGAAACAACAUUGAGAGUCCUGCUUACUGGCUUGCUCAGCUACCUUUCUUACCCAGCUUGGGUCUACAGGCCUAAGGAUGGUACUGCAAUCCUAAGGAUGGCUGGUCCUUCCUACAUCAAUUACCAACUGAGAAAAUGCCUCAGAGAUGUGGCAACAGGCUAAUCUGAUUUGGGCAGGUCUACUUCAGUCGAGGUUAUUUUCCUGGAUGAUUCUAGGUCAUAUCUAGUGGUCUUCUGAUGCUAAGUAGGACGGCAGGACCAGAGGCAACUUUUACAUUUGGCUCAGUCCAUUCUCUGCCCCAGAAAGUGUACAUUAUUCUGCUUAUCUACAGCUAAAACUAAACUUUGCUUGCCUGUUACAUCUAUGCCCUGCUGGGAAUUCCUCUCCUCUGGGUUCACAAGAAGAGAAUGUGGGAAUGGAAUGUGGGAGGAGAUAUCUCUCCCCAUGAUCAUGUGGAAUGGCAUGUCAGCCUCUGAUCAAGCUCUCCCUUGAUGUCCUCCUGACUUCAGCUGAAGGGUCUUCUUGCUGUUCUCAUCUGAAGUGUCCUCUCCCCUCUCCCUCCAUAACUGUGCUUAGUCACCACUAAAUGCCUGUCUGGGAAAUGCCUGUCUUUCUCUAGGUCAGUAAUGACUGUCUUAGUCGGGGUUUCUAUUUCUGAACAAACAUCAUGACCAAGAAGCAAGUUGGGGAAGAAAGGG